RNAcentral lists this microRNA precursor (128 nucleotides) under Picea abies (Norway spruce). RNAcentral's name for it is "miR949c stem-loop (pab-MIR949c)". Its record names the gene pab-MIR949c. Lineage: Eukaryota; Viridiplantae; Streptophyta; Pinopsida; Pinales; Pinaceae. The record is from miRBase by way of RNAcentral.
GCUGAAAGAAUGAAAACUUGUCCAGGAACCCAAUGAGCCUUCGUCUACUCCUGAACGCCUGCGAUGCGUGGGAGUGAGCCGUUCAAACGAGGGCGCAUUGGGUUCCAAGAAAAGCUCUCGUUCUCGGU